Mercenaria mercenaria is the source of this 8634-nucleotide RNA transcript. RefSeq lists it as uncharacterized. The transcript is spliced from 5 exons. NCBI's taxonomy places the organism in Eukaryota, Metazoa, Mollusca, Bivalvia, Venerida, Veneridae. The record is from RefSeq and is a predicted model, not a curated record.
UUCAGCCAUAAUUAUUUAUAAGAUAAGUCAAUCUAAUGUCCUUGUCCCUGAUUAUUAAUUUUUGCAGGCUUUAAACAGCUGUACAAGAGCAAAACUGAUAGCUUUAUUUGUGUAUCUUAUAUGUAUGUCAAACAGGAAGAUAAACUAUUAAUACUGGUAUAUAAACUGGGAGAUAUUGACAGCAGGCAGAAAGAUCACAGGAUACUAUGGCAUGACAACAGGUAUUCUAAGAGGCGCUGAAAAUGAGUAAAAGCUUGAUAACAGAGAAUGACUUCUUCAAAGCCUUUUAUCACCAAGGACAGUACUUCUAUAAAGACAUACACUGGCCUACCUCGACGAUUCUAUUGUACAGAAUUCGUAUUAAAAAUCCUAUCACAGAAGCAGACGAAUUCCUUCAUCAAACUGGACUAUGUUCCUUACAGUAUGAACGCUGGAUGAAAAUCGUUAAUGAAGAUGGUCACCAUGCAGAGAUAUUGUUCGUUAAAAAACUAGAGCAUUUACUGAAUUAUAAACUAUUUCCGGCUACAGCCACGCAAAUCAGCAUCGAUUUGGUGCUCAGUUACUCGCCUUGCUCAGACUGUGCUGCAUGUCUGAUUGCACUAAAGCAAGGUAUUGAAACAUACCGAAACAGAGAUGGUAUAGCUAUGUUUUGUGAUAUAACUAUAAAGUUUUCAAAUUUUUACAAAAUUUAUGACCCAAUAAACACGGAAAACUUGAUUGAAAUGGUGAGAAAUCAAAUUCAGCUCGUGGUAUUUAAUGGUCUUUGUGACUGGAAAGACUUUCUUGACAACACAGUGAAAUUGCCCAUUGACGUCCAAUCGGAGGGUUUCUUUAAUGCAUUCAAAGUACGACAAGACAGAGAACUUGUGGAUGCAAUGUUGCUUGACUGCAUAAAAAAGGCUGCGAUCACAUGGGUUAUUCUGCAAAGAGCGGGACUUUGAGGAGGAACGAGUUUCAAGUAUACAAUUCACUUUGGAAAAACUUAGCCUCGGAAGAAACUACGGCGACAAAGUCCAGCAAGGAUCAGCUUAAAGUUAGUCGACAAAUGAAAACCAGAUUAUUAUAUAUUUUCUGUUUAAAAAAAAAUGAUACAAAAAUAAGAUAUGUGUAAGAUUUUUGAAAUUCAAUAUACGAACGUAAGAUAUCGGAGAAGCCCAUAAAACAUUUAGACAGGAAAUAAAUCGUAGUAUACUGACAGGUAUACUACAUACAUGUACAUAUUUGCAAAGUCACAUUCAAUAUUUCAUCGCAUUGUUAAAAAAGGAAGCAAAAUGUAAAUACAUUAGAUGCGUUUUAAACAUAUAAGUCGAAUAUUGAAACGAAUUCAUUGAUGUGUCUAAUUGUUUGUCUCGUCCGUGAUAAUUUUUUUUUUGUUGGAUUUAACGUCGCACCGGCACAUGAUAGGUCAUAUGGCGACUUUCCAGCUUUAAUGGUGGAGGAAGACCCCAGGUGCCCCUCCGUGCAUUAUUUCAUCACGAGCGGGCACCUGGGUAGAACCACCGACCUUCCAUAAGCCAGCUGGAUGGCUUCCUCACAUGAAGAAUUCAACGCCCCGAGUGAUAAAGAUACAUGUAUGUCUUGUAGGUACCAUGAACAUCAUAUUUAAUUUUUUGUUGGUUUGACGUCGCACCGACACAGUUUAGGUCAUAUAGCGACUUCCCUGCUUUCAUGGUGGAGGAAGAGCACAAAUGCCCCCUCUGUACUUAUUGUCAUAAUGGAUAAGCUCCUGGGUAGAACAACCAAAUGUCCGUAAGCCAGCUAGAUGGAUAAAGAAUUCAAUGUCCCGAUUGAGGGGCAAAUGAUUUGAAGUCAGCUGCCUUAUCAGCCCGGCCUCAGAGACCCCGGGCAGCAUACUUAUAUGCGCUUAUCACAGUAUGAAUCUAUUUAUUGGAUUAUGUCUUGUAUUCUACACAUCUCCUCACGAAAGCGGAGAAAUGAGUAAAUACAGUGUAUAAAGAGUUAUAUCUUACUCCGGUGCCACGUGGCGACUGUACAAAGUAUCCCGUGUUGUUAUAUGUUCUGGUGCUUAACGAUCGUGGAGUCCCUUAAUCAUUUAAUCAUGUUGUUACGCUUGUUACGUUGCGGCGUGAUGUUCAUGUACAGACUUCCGAAAGUUUCUGUACAUUUCUAAAAGGUUAGAACAAAAUUGAUGACAUAGCUUAUUGCAGAAACUAGCAAUUUUGACAAAGAUCCUUUGAUACACAGCUAGGUAAUGCAUCAAAAACUAAAAUGUAACUUUGACAUUAAACAUCGACUACCAUUGCCCUAUUACAUAUUUUUCAAUGAUUUAAAUUAUAUUUAGUAAUAAAAAAACAUUUAUCUAAAAAAAAUGACUUCAAUCAAAGUACUUUCCCAGUAAGAGCAUCAAUGUAACAUGCAAUCGAUAAAAUUACCUGGAUUUUGUGUGCAUUAUCAUUUUAAAAUAAAGUAUCCUCAAAAACAACAUCGUUUGGUUAUCACUCCCCUGAAUCCUUUAUGUUGAUUUUGUUAAAAUAACGACAAUGGAUGUAUUAUAGAAUAUAUCUCCGGAAUAUAUAUUGAGCCGCGCCAUGGGAAAACCAACAUAAUGCAAGUGAUCCAUGCUGUUCUCUAACGCGGAUGCGGAUGCGCAGUCUGGUCUGGAUCCAUGCUGUUCUCUAACGCGGAUGCGCAGUCUGGUCUGGAUCCAUGCUGUUCUCUAACGCGGAUGCGCAGUCUGGUCUGGAUCCAUGCUGUUCUCUAACGCGGAUGCGCAGUCUGGUCUGGAUCCAUGCUGUUCUCUAACGCGGAUGCGCAGUCUGGUCUGGAUCCAUGCUGUUCUCUAACACGGAUUCGCAGUCUGGUCUGGAUCCAUGCUGUUCUCUAACGCGGAUGCGCAGUCUGGUCUGGAUCCAUGCUGUUCUCUAACACGGAUGCGCAGUCUGGUCUGGAUCCAUGCUGGUCGCAAGUGCGCUUUGCGUGCUUUCGAAUGGUGCGGCUCCAAUUAUGAUAACUCUGUCUGUUAUACUGAAAAAAAGAAAAACAUUAUGGGAAUCUGAAAGAAAAAAAUCAAUGUGUGCUAGUAACAUAGGUACAUUUUAUACCAUUGUAAUUGCUAUUAUAUUGUCUAAUUGCAUUCAAUGCUUCCAGUGGCUCUCUUCAUAUAGAUAUUGUUGCAAGAAAGUGAUAGUUACUAAACAAUGUGUUUAUUCUGUCAUAGACAUCAAGAUUAACAUACAUAUAUACACGUAUUCGAUGAUACUGAGUUCUAGUUGUAUCAAAAUCUGUUGUCCAUUAUUUGAACAGGGUUCCAUUAUUUGAACAGGGUACGUUGAGCACUUAAGCAUUCUUAGAUUAUUGCUUUUGAAGUCGGCUUUCAAAGUUAUGCAUGAUAAAAAUAUGUUAAUUAUUAAAUUGGGACGUUUUUCUUCAUUAUUUUAUUUACGCUGAGCUUCGUAUUGCUUUGCUAUGGAUGUUUUCAGCCAUUGCUAUUACGUCAUAGAAUUGUAAAUCCCCAUACUAGGCGUCUAACACCUGCACGUGACAAAUCAUUAUUGUAUGGUGAAUAUAUUGGUGCAAUUUUAAUUGAAAAUGGUAAACAUUGUCUUUGAAAUAGGGGUGUUGUUCUUCCUAUCAUGCUGUUCCUGUAUACCAGACAAGAAACUGACUUUGAUCUCCACGCCAUUGACCUUAAGAUGUUUGAGUAUUGCCAUAUUACUUUUGGUUUGUAACAUGGGAAAAAAUGGACACAACUGAACGGACUGUCUGGCGGAGCGCCAAGCUAUAUUAUUCUUCAAACUGAUACUGAGCAAGUAGUGACAAAAAGGGGGUUAGGUUUAUCAUCAUACACGUUUGUGCAUGAUUUUUAAGACUAUAUUUACUUGGCAAUAUAUGUUUGUUUGGGUCAUAUUGCGACGUCUCAAUUUUUCAUGGUUGAGGAAUACCCAAGGUACGCCUCUAGGCAUUUUUCAUCACGGACGGGCACCUGGGUAGAAUCACCUACUUUCCGGAAGACAGGUGGAUGGCUCUCUAACACUUAAAAUUCUACGCCCAGAAUAAGGUUUCUGCGAGGGGCAAGUUAUUUGAAGUCAGCGACCUUAACCAUUUUGUCACGGAGGCCCUGAUUGACAUUAAAUGUAGGUCAGGAUAGGAUAUUACAUGAAAAUCACAAUUGUACAUAUACUAACUUUUUGACGUUGACUGUAUUUUGUUCUAACACGAUCCGAUUUAUUUCCCGACUGAAAUUGUUUGUUAUCAAGAAACACAAUCAAUCUGUACGCUAUAACUAUAACGUCUCAUACUGUAACGGUGCGCAAGAAAAGAAAGCCACACACAACAGGCAUAUAUUUGAUGAAUAUCUUCAAGGCAGUAGAUAAUAAUCAUUGAUGACGUAAUAGAUGUGCAGAGCACUUGAACCGGCUCUGAAGGUCAAAGGUCAAGGUCACAAACCGAGUUAAAAAGUAAGAUUUGUCCGUUUUAUUUCGUGUUCGGAGCCUAACUUGAUAACUGUAUAGUGUAUUGACUUUAAACUUGGGGUGUAUGCAAGUAGUGAAAAGACGAUGUACAGAAUGCAUGUGCCAGAGUGGAAGGUCAAAGGUCAAAAUCAUAGCAAGGUCAAAUCUGCCUAUCAUACUUCAUUUCAAGAAGAAAACUUGAAAACUAUUAGAAGUAUUGACUUGAAACUUGAAUAUAGGCAGAUGUUGAUGCAACAAUCUACAACGCAACCCUCAGUACCACCACUAUCCCCACAGCACCAAAAUAUUGUUGUUUUCUUUUUAUUUACAUCCUCCCAAUCUACACUGUAAACCCCGCUCCUAUCUCUAGUAUUCUCCCUCAACACCACACCCCAAAAACACACCCGCCAUUUUUUAUUCCGUUUAUUGCUGUUUGUAUCCUGUCUCCAUUCUGCCUCCCACGUCCUCCGUUGUAAUCCUUCGGGCGUAUACUGCCCCGUUUGUUUAUGUAAGCUACGACACAAGGUAAGUAUUGUAAACACUUUAAAUGCACUCGCUUAUCUUGUUCUACAUCUGAUCUGUUUUAUAACAAUUUGUUUGCUGUUUUGGCAGAUGCAUUCAUACGAAACUGCAAGCUUUUAUGUAAACUAUAUAUUAAAAGAUUUAUGUGCUUAGGUAAUUUAUCAACACGUUAUUUGUCGUCUUGAAGGGAUAGACACAUAAUACUUAUACCCUUUAAUUCGGUCAGUUCAAAGAAAUUGGAAUUAAUUGUUUUUACCAAAUUGAAUUUUCCUAAUAAAGUCGCUAUAUGUGAAGUGGCGAAACAUGUGACAAAUGAUUGGAUAAAGAAUCUGAUUAACAAAGAUAAUUAUCUUAUAUUGUCUGUAAUUAUCGUGAGUAAAAUCAAUAAUUCAAAAAUUAGUUAAAGCGGAACAUGAACCUAUACAGCAAUUUUCAGGUGUUAUUCGAAACCUGUCAUAUGCAGUCUAGGUUUAAUUCAACAGUCAUUAAACUAAGAAAUAAUUGUCUAAUCCAUUUAAGUAAGCAUGUCAAAAACGUAAGAGAAAUAUCGUUUCUACAAGUUUUCAAUAGUUCAAUUUAUCGCCCAGUUUUUAACCUGUUUGCCCCUUUAAAAUAAAUGACUGGUUUGAAAAGGAGUUGAAAAUGUCUGCUUUAACAUACAACUGAUACAAAAGUAACAGAAUUAGAAAUAAUUUCCUUAUCUGGUUUCAAGGAAGUUAUGUGUAGUAUUGACAAUUUGUUUUAUUUGUUUGACCAAGUCUGCACGUGUAUUUAAUAUACCCGUAAUUCAUUUCUAAAUUUAUUUUCUACCCUGUAAGAAAUGUAUUCAUAGCAAAAACACAAAAUGAGGAAGAUAACAAAUGAUGAAUAAACAUUUAUCAAGUAAACAACUUGAUGGCAACAACUUGAUGGCGAUACUGAAAGAUGAAUGAAAGCUUGAUAGACGGUGACAAUUUUUACGAGGAAAUUUUCCAUGCCAGUGAGUAUGGUAAAGCAGGAUGGCCUUCCUCGACAAUACUCUUGUACAAAAUUCGAAUUAAAAGAGAAACGACUAAAGCACAGAAGUUGCUGCAUCAGUCAGGGUGUUCGUCGCUGCAAUGCGAACGAUGGAUAAGAGUCGACAAUGAUUCUUGUCGUGGAUUUCAUGCGGAAACUAUUUUAAUACAACAAGUAAACGAUCUUUUGGACUGCUUACGUGAAGAUAGAAGCCUAUUCUCUGUAAGGCAAAUUAGUAUAGAUAUUGUGCUGAGUUAUUCUCCAUGCUCAAAUUGUGCAAAAAGUCUUAUUAAACUGAAGGAAACUAUUGAAAACGUCGUUUUUUAUGACCGUAGUUUCAUAUUUUGUGAUAUGAAUGUAAAGUUUGCUAACUUCUACCAGCAUUAUAGGCACGAAAACAUAAAAAAUCUAAUAAAAAUGACGCAUUCCCAAAUACAACUUUCUGUGUUUAAUGGGCUGUGUGACUGGAAGGAUUUUCUGGAUAACACGGUAAAACUCUCACUUGAUGUUCAGUCCGAAUAUUUCUACGGUGCCUGGCGAGUACGACAGAAAAGAUAGCUAGUUGAUUCAAUACUACUUGAUUGCAUAAAGCGAGCUGGAUUGAAAUGGUAUUUGCUUGCGCAGGAGCGGAGAGUAAUCAUAUUAGAAAUGAUCCGAAAUAUUAAAUCAGUUUGCACGGGUUUCGAAUGUUUAAAUCUAAUCCGGAAGUAGACUUGACAUUACUGUAGUAAGAUCAGGAUGAAUCAACGAUACCUAAACAUUUUGCUUAGUACGACACGUGUAGUUUAAACAGAUGCAUGCAUUAUCCUGAUAUGAAUCACUUAACCGCGACAUAUUUUGGGAUGCAUACGUUUUUCAAUAUAUUUCUCACUAAUUGUCUUUAUAAGAUUUCUUGGAUAUGUGGUUAAGCUGAUAUCUGACUAAAGUACUUGAUCUUCUAAACAAAGAUCUGAAGAUGACUAAUUCACAUUCAUCUUUCUGUAUAUAUGGAUUUCCGAUAUUGCUAUUUUUAUUUUCGCAAAUCUAUUUUUAUUUGAACCAAUCAGACGACUCGUUUCAACAAGCAGUUGGCAUCAAAAUAGCGUCGAAUGUCACAGGGUGAGAAAAAUGUGCAGUCUGUCCGGGGUUCGAACCCGUGACCUCUCGCUUACAGGGCGAGUGCUCUACCGACAGAGCUAACCGGCAGCCUGACACAUAUUCUCCCCUUACGUGACCAAGUCCGUACCUUCUCGAAACAUGAGGGCGCAGUCAUGAUGUUUUCAUCAUAAGAAUUGUAAACAUGAAAACAAAACAGGCUAAAUAUAGAUUUUUUCAACUUCUACUUUCACUUUCAAAAUGUUGAAAGCAAGGCUCUGAUUGGCUAGCGGAAGGGUCGUCGAAACGAGGCUAUCAAUAGCACGUCUUCAUAUCUAAAGCGUAGCGUUAAUUGGAGAUGUACUUUAGUCGAUUGGUUAGGCUGAAUAUAUCAGUAAACAUAAUCAAUGUACUAAAAUAAAAUUUACUAUCUUCAAACAGGGAAAAAAAUCAGUUAAAAAUCUUACAAUAGUUUCAAUCAAGUCCUGUCAUAUUUCAGUUUUCGUAGGGCAGGAGCUGUACAGGGGCUAUACAGGCAUACAUAUUUUUAUGUUAGAUGUGUUAACAAUGUCUGAUAGCACAGAUACGGUCUUGACAAUAGGCUAAAAUGCGUCAUUUUCUGAGGGAAAAAAAAGCAUCCGAUCUAAUAUUAUUUCAUUACAAAAAUAAUAUGUCCUAAACAAUGAUUUAUCGUUGAAUAAAAUAUCGCCAGGAGUCAGAUGCUAAGGAAUUAUAUCACGAAAAAGUGAUAAAAUAAUACGAUCUUUACAACAAACGAUUUACUUGUUUUGGGUUGUUUUCUUUUACAGCGCGCCGCUAUGACGUUUGACGCUAUCACGUAAUGAAUGUGACGUUCUAAUAGUGAUUUUGUUGCAUAAUAACACAGUUUCGGUCUUCUUUGUUUAAUAUGUUUAAUAAAUCGAGUCGUGUUGGAACAAUGAAUAAUAUCCAAAACAACAACUAACGAAUCCUGACAAUUACUGCGAGAAAAAAUGAAUUGUCAAAAUUAUUUGUCUGAUUCAAACAAACUUUAUGAGAUUCUUUCACCGAUUGUAGAUGCAGAUGGGAAUAUGCAGUCUUAAGGAUAACUUCUUACAAGGCAUUAACGAUGCUCUGUCGAGUUGCAACGUUAACAGUUACCCGAGAGCCGGGUAUUCCUAUGUGCAUCUACAAUUAGUAAUAGGAUCAAUUUUUGCAUGCCAUAUUCAACAAGCAAUAGCAAAGAAAGAAUCAAACAAAUGACUUACUUAACCUUUAGUCUGAUAAUUUCUAAAAUUAACAGGUCAAUCAUUCAAUUUGGGCAAUACCAUUUAUUAUUUGAAGGGUUGUUCGCUGAAAAUUUACUGACUGAAUAGCGAACAGUGCAUACCAUGAUCAGCCUGCUCUUGGUCUGCAUUGGUCGCAAAUGCAGAAUCCCUUGCCACCAGCAGGCUAACGGUUAAAGCACUUUUUUCUUAUAUUAGCGUUAACGUUACGACCGUAAAUAGGAAUUAUGUCAUGACGUUACAAAGACAAACGCAACGUUUCACUGCAGAUGAAAAACGAAAUAGGAACUAUUACGUUAUGACUUUUUGGUUCAACGUUUCUUGGAUCGAGAUAUAUUUGAUAAGGAACAAAGAAGCACUCAAAU